GAUGAACGCUGGCGGCGUGCCUAAUACAUGCAAGUCGAGCGAACAGACGAGGAGCUUGCUCCUCUGACGUUAGCGGCGGACGGGUGAGUAACACGUGGAUAACCUACCUAUAAGACUGGGAUAACUUCGGGAAACCGGAGCUAAUACCGGAUAAUAUAUUGAACCGCAUGGUUCAAUAGUGAAAGACGGUUUUGCUGUCACUUAUAGAUGGAUCCGCGCCGCAUUAGCUAGUUGGUAAGGUAACGGCUUACCAAGGCAACGAUGCGUAGCCGACCUGAGAGGGUGAUCGGCCACACUGGAACUGAGACACGGUACAGACUCCUACGGGAGGCAGCAGUAGGGAAUCUUCCGCAAUGGGCGAAAGCGUGACGGAGCAACGCCGCGUGAGUGAUGAAGGUCUUCGGAUCGUAAAACUCUGUUAUUAGGGAAGAACAAAUGUGUAAGUAACUAUGCACGUAUUGACGGUACCUAAUCAGAAAGCCACGGCUAACUACGUG
RNAcentral lists this ribosomal RNA (497 nucleotides) under uncultured bacterium. Its description in RNAcentral is "partial 16S ribosomal RNA". It matches the Rfam family "Bacterial small subunit ribosomal RNA", at positions 28 to 507 of the family's 1533-position model. The record is from RNAcentral.